Molecule: long non-coding RNA, 407 nt
Organism: Centruroides sculpturatus (bark scorpion)
Lineage: Eukaryota; Metazoa; Arthropoda; Arachnida; Scorpiones; Buthidae
Exons: 3
Source: RefSeq, a predicted model, not a curated record
AUAAUGAAAGAAUGCCAAAGUGCAAAAAAGUAUUUAAUUGAAAAAUGGGCCAAUGAUUGUGUCUAUAUUUUAACAAUUCUGAAAGAUGAUUGGGCACCCUUAGUCCCCAUUCAGGAAAAUGACUCAUUAGAAAAUAUAGAAUGUUUUUUCUCAUCAAUUUCUGCUACGAUGUAUCGUUUGCUUUAUUAUUCUGUAAUAGAAAAUCUAGAAAGAUGGAUAAUGUUUUUGAAAAAUUAUAAGGAAGAAAAUAAGUUAUAUGAAGAUUUGAAACAAAGAGAAUUAUUUAAUCCUUCUCUUAUUAUUAUAAAGGUUGUUAUAAAAAAUCAAAAGCUAGAAUUUGAGCCAAAAUUAAAUGAAAUUAAAGAAAAUAUUGAACAAUUUAUAAAAGAAAUAAUAUCAACAGUUAA